AUGAGUACUUGGUUUAACAAAGAUUGUAGAUUUAGCAUUGAGCUUUUUAAAUGUUAAUGUUCAUUAGCAUCUGAAAGGGACUACCAGAAGAAGAGAGUAGAAUAGAUCAAGAUUCUUAUUUAGGGAAACUGUUUGGCGUGCCUGAAGCACAGCUGAUAAUAAUGGAUGUUYCAGCAGUCUACCCCUUACCUGCUGCUGUUCAGUUGUCUUCCUGAGCCAAAGACCUAACAAAAGCUGCAGUCCGAGCCCUGACAGUGUCAUUAGUCCAGGAAGGAGGAGGAGCAGAAAGACACGGCACGCACGUAUGGAGGAUGGAAGCAAUUAUAAUGCAUGAAGUAGGAGGGAGAAAAUUAUGGGGAAAUUAUCUUUAGCUGCUCACUGAUAACUACCUUCAUAGAUUAUAAAAG
Molecule: long non-coding RNA, 407 nt
Organism: Malurus melanocephalus (red-backed fairy wren)
Lineage: Eukaryota; Metazoa; Chordata; Aves; Passeriformes; Maluridae
Exons: 3
Source: RefSeq, a predicted model, not a curated record